Molecule: long non-coding RNA, 1147 nt
Filed under: Aquilegia coerulea
Lineage: Eukaryota; Viridiplantae; Streptophyta; Magnoliopsida; Ranunculales; Ranunculaceae
Description: long non-coding RNA (ACOE_LNC001542)
Source: RNAcentral
UCCAAACAAUAAGCAAGCUAGGAUGAUAAUUUAAAUCUAAUGAAACAAAAUAGAGAAAACAAAGGGAGAAAGAGAGUUGGAUGGACUUUUUUUCCAAUUCAUUUCUUCGCAACUGAUUCAAAAUGGGCGAGCUACAGAAGCAGGUUAAGGAUAGAGCCAAAGAUCUCAAGGCCUUCAUGCAAUAUGGCUGGAAGGUCGUCGGUGCUUGCAAGAAAGGAUGGUACAAAAUGCGAAGCAAUUUAAAAAUAUAACUUGAUCAAAUCACGAUGAAGAUGAUAACAGUGACGAUGUAAAUUUAAGGUUAGUAUACUCGAAUCCUCAUAUGUACUUCUAAUUCUGAUUAGUUAACAAGAUUAGGAUUAUAAUAAUUAAGUAUAUAUGAUAGCUGGUUAAUACAACAUAAUAUUUAUCCAAUAAUCACCUAUUUGUAUUGCAUGUACCAAAUAUAGUUGCAGGCAGUUAAUCUAUUGAAUUUUCUUGCAAACAUGAUGGAAAUCAAUCUAGCUCUUAUUAAAAUUAUGUUUUGGAUCUAUAUACUUUGCAUGCGAUGGAAACAAAGGUUUUUCCUUCACCUAUAUUUUCUCAAUAUACUCAUAAAUCACCAUUCACAUCACAAGAUGGUAUGGAUUUGAAUUAUGAAAAUGGUCUAAUGUCAUCAUCAGUGCAGUAGGUAGCUGUGAACCUCACCCGCAGAGGAAUCAGGAGAGAUAAAAUUAUGGUGUGGGCGGCAACAAGCUUCAGAGUUAGCUAGGCAUUCAAAUGUUAAGAGGUCAUUGUGCGAUGCAUGUGGUGAUAUUUUAAAGUCUAAUCCUAUAUUUGAUCAUCAAGCCGAUGACGUACAUGCAGGACAAAAGUCAUGUAUGAAGUCCUUCUGUAUUUUGUAAAGUUGUAUCUAUAUCUAGAAACAUGGUAGUAGCUGCUCAUGUGUUGAUAAUGUGCAUAUGUGAAUAUUGAUGAUAACUGUCUCAAUGGAUGAUGUAUGUGUAUGAAUGAACCAUCCUUUUGUACUAUCAAUAUCACCAUCCUUAACCUCCAAAAUUAUGCGAGCUUCUUUUUUUUUUCUUUAAACUUAGUCUGAUGAUAUAUAUAUAUAUAUAGUCACCAUCGAGCUUUACAAUUUCUUCGUCUAGAUUUUAAAGAAGUUUUG